Molecule: transfer RNA, 66 nt
Filed under: Sympetrum risi
Lineage: Eukaryota; Metazoa; Arthropoda; Insecta; Odonata; Libellulidae
Description: tRNA-Leu
Source: RNAcentral
AAUUUAAUUGUGCGAUUCAAUUUAAUUUGAUAAUUAUUAUCUUACUUUAAAAUUUUUCUUUUUUUG